GUACUCAAUUCAGCAGCACAUAUACUAAAACUGGAAUGAUACGGAGAAGAUUAGCAUGGCCCCUGUGAAAGGAUGAUACUCAAAGUUUUAAAGCAUUCCAUAUAUAU
Molecule: small nuclear RNA, 107 nt
Organism: Dromiciops gliroides (monito del monte)
Lineage: Eukaryota; Metazoa; Chordata; Mammalia; Microbiotheria; Microbiotheriidae
Source: RefSeq, a predicted model, not a curated record